Non-coding RNA from Salvia hispanica, 680 nucleotides. NCBI's taxonomy places the organism in Eukaryota, Viridiplantae, Streptophyta, Magnoliopsida, Lamiales, Lamiaceae. The record is from RefSeq and is a predicted model, not a curated record.
UCGGUAUCUACUAGAAUCUACUGCUUCAACGAAGGAAAAGCUUCUCGGGCUUGCUAGAAUUUUUUCAAGGGAGAAGGAUGAGUCAUUGUGAUAACGAAGGAGUGUGGAAAGUUUAUACACGUGGAAGCAGGAGGGUGGUUUACCCAACUGAAACUGAGGAUAUUGAGGAAGAGGUUAAGCAAACUGAAAAUGAGGAAAUGGAGGAGUAAAGUUGUUGCAUCAGCAUCAAAUCUCGGCAGUCAAGAAGUCUUUAUUCAUUAGUCAAAUUUGUUAUUCUGUUCCUUUAUUUUAGCAUCGUAAUCGCCUAUUUAUAGAGAGACUCAAAGUGGAGAAAAGCAUCUUUGGGAAUCAAUAUUUUGGGCGAAGUAUUCGCAAGCCUCCUUGAGCCUUUCCCUCUAACACGUUGUCAUCCAAGGAAACGCGGAGUCCUGAUCGUGAAGUUGGAUUUUCAGUAGCAGCAAGUCCAGCCAUGAGCAUUGCAUGUGAAUAGGAACAAGGGAUGUUUUCAUGAUGAAGGAUUCUCAAUUCUCAACAGUAGAAAUCUCUUUUAAUUAAGCUCCACAGGAGACUAAUUCAUGACUAUAUGUUUUUUCUAGCUUAAUUGUAGUCACAUUGUAUAGGAAUACAAGGAGUAUAUAGUUUAUGGUUAUUAUUUAAAAUAAAUAACACUUAUUUCAGUA